ACGGAGAGUUUGAUCCUGGCUCAGGAUGAACGCUGGCGGCGUGCCUAACACAUGCAAGUCGAACGAUUAAGACGCCUUCGGGCGUGCAUAGAGUGGCGAACGGGUGAGUAACACGUGACCAACCUGCCCCCUACCCCGGGAUAACGCAAGGAAACCUGCGCUAAUACCGGAUACUCCUUCCCCUGCUCCUGCAGGGGUCGGGAAAGCCCAGACGGUAGGGGAUGGGGUCGCGGCCCAUUAGGUAGACGGCGAGGUAAUAGCUCACCGUGCCUGCGAUGGGUAGCCGGGUUGAGAGACCGACCGGCCACAUUGGGACUGAGAUACGGCCCAGACUCCUACGGGAGGCAGCAGUGGGGAAUUUUGCGCAAUGGGGGGAACCCUGACGCAGCAACGCCGCGUGCGGGAUGAAGGCCUUCGGGUUGUAAACCGCUUUCAGCAGGGAAGAUAGUGACGGUACCUGCAGAAGAAGCCCCGGCUAACUACGUGCCAGCAGCCGCGGUAAUACGUAGGGGGCGAGCGUUAUCCGGAUUCAUUGGGCGUAAAGCGCGCGUAGGCGGCCCGUCAAGCGGAACCUCUAACCCGAGGGCUCAACCCCCGGUCGGGUUCCGAACUGGCAGGCUCGAGUUUGGUAGAGGAAGAUGGAAUUCCCGGUGUAGCGGUGGAAUGCGCAGAUAUCGGGAAGAACACCGAUGGCGAAGGCAGUCUUCUGGGCCAUCAACUGACGCUGAGGCGCGAAAGCUGGGGGAGCGAACAGGAUUAGAUACCCUGGUAGUCCCAGCCGUAAACGAUGGGUGCUAGGUGUGGGGGGAUCAUCCCUCCGUGCCGCAGCCAACGCAUUAAGCACCCCGCCUG
Molecule: ribosomal RNA, 852 nt
Filed under: Odoribacter splanchnicus
Lineage: Bacteria; Pseudomonadati; Bacteroidota; Bacteroidia; Bacteroidales; Odoribacteraceae
Description: bacterial SSU rRNA
Rfam family: Bacterial small subunit ribosomal RNA
Source: RNAcentral